Molecule: long non-coding RNA, 1228 nt
Organism: Erinaceus europaeus (western European hedgehog)
Lineage: Eukaryota; Metazoa; Chordata; Mammalia; Eulipotyphla; Erinaceidae
Exons: 4
Source: RefSeq, a predicted model, not a curated record
UCUGACUCCAGUGCCCAGGAAACCAGAAGACAUUUGGUCACAUAUGGAGUCUGUGCUCAUUCUGAUUAAAUCUCAAUUUCUCUUUCUGAAUGAAAAAAAAAAUGAACCCAGGAGCAAUGAAAUCACACAUGCAUAAGGCCCCAGCUCUGCAAAAUAAAAUGACAAAAGCAAAUCAGUUUUGUACAUCUAAAAAUAGCUACCAACUUCCAUAUACUACUACAACCCCAUCUUGACCUUCCUGGGCAGAUGAUCUCAACUGCAUGUCUCAGAACCUCACCUCUCCAGAUCCCUCCUCUACUAGGGGAAGAUAAAGACAGGCUGGGGGUUUGAAUCAAUUGGCCAAUGUCCACAUCCAGUGGAGAAGAAAUUAUAGAAGUCAGAACACCUUCCUUCUGCACCCCAAGAAUUUUGCUCCACACUCCCAGAGGGGAAAUACUAGGGGAAGAUUAACAAAAGGGUCUGAACCCCAGUUCCACUGGGACCCAGGACUUUUGUGACCAGAAACAUUGAUUUUUGCCCCAUUACUGAUAGGAAAGAGAAUUCUAAAGAAGUAAGGUCCUGUUUCCUUUAUCUGAGAUGGAAGAGGAAAAGGGAAGCACACCAUUAUAGGAGGUGUAAGUUUAGUUUACAAAGGAAGUGAAGGUGGGGCCUUAGAAGUAAAUAAAAAUGGGCAUAAGCUUCCACAUGGGGUCAUCCGUCUUUUCCCAAAUGGUCCAUGUGCUUCUUUGGUGCAUUCCUUUUCACUUUCCUAAUUAAAAGUUUAAAAUAUCUAAUUUAAAAAUUCUAUGAACAAUCCUUAAAGGAGGGGAUAAGGCCUUUAAUGAUGGGAUAAAAAUCACUUAUUUGAGUCUUAAAGAUAAAAAAAAAAUGUCAUGGGACAUAUACUCAAUGGAAUAAUAGCAGCUAAAAAAGACUAUAUUGUGUCUUUGGGAGUAAAAUGAAUGGAAUUGGCAGUGAUUUUGCUUAGUGAAGUAAGGAAGUAGAAAAAAAAAACUACUUGAUUUCAUUCAUAUGUGGAAUAUAGAGAAUUGAAACACAUGAACUUGAGAAAAAAAUAUAUAGUCAACCCAUAUUUAUGACCUUGGGAGAACUAUGGUGGUUACUGCUGAAUUGGGGGGGGGGGGACAGAACUCUAGUGGUGGGAGUAGUAUAGAAUUAUACCCCUAUUAUCAUAUAAUCUUAUAAAUCACUAUCAAACCACUAAUAAAGAUAUAAUACAGAAAAUAAA